Molecule: small RNA, 313 nt
Filed under: Histoplasma capsulatum
Lineage: Eukaryota; Fungi; Ascomycota; Eurotiomycetes; Onygenales; Ajellomycetaceae
Also listed under: 1 other name
Description: hypothetical RNA
Source: RNAcentral
AGCCUGCGCUGAUUCCCAGUCGCUUUGAUGCUGGUAACAGCUGGGGUCUGUACGGCACAUCACCGUGUAAGCAGAUACUGGCGCUCUUCGACUGAAGCUUGUUGCUUCUUAUUAUCUCGUAUCUUGAGGUCCAUAUACUUAGCAUGCUCGUACAGUACAAACCCAGCGAAUGAGAGUUUGCCAUACUGUUAGCAAAGUUGUCAUUCGCCAUUCUGGCUUUAACUUCUCUGUGCUACAGAAGGCAAUUUUUUCCAUCUUCAAGCGCUCAUACAUGAUAAUUGCAACGUAUUAGCUGCAUCACAAUUGUGUGUCC